This 542-nucleotide long non-coding RNA is filed under the name Linum usitatissimum (flax). RNAcentral's name for it is "long non-coding RNA (LUSI_LNC001830)". Lineage: Eukaryota; Viridiplantae; Streptophyta; Magnoliopsida; Malpighiales; Linaceae. The record is from RNAcentral.
AACGGCUAGCUCUCACUGUGCAGUAUGCACAGACAGAGAUGCAUAGGCCAAAAAAACGUCAAAUGAAAUAUUCUAUUGUCCACUCUCCCUAAAUAUUUUGAAGAAUAAUUUUGUGUGUGUAAUCAUAACAAAAUCUAUUGCAAAAUUAGUAAUUUAGUAUCAUAUGAUAGUAAUUAAUUAUUUUGUAUCAAGGGGCUAACAUACAAGCCAUAUGAGUUAUACACAUUCACUCAAAUGUACCUACAUGGCUGCAUACAUAUUUACAAUAAGACAUGAGGACACGGCCAUCACUAGCUCCCUUAUACUAUCAUCAAACACUCACACAUACAUAAACACCGACGAUGUACACUUUCCAUCCCGAUCAAACCUCCAAAACUACACCUUUUUGGUCGACACAGCUGGAGCCGAUUUUCGAUAACUCGAAGUCCUAGAACCAUCCACCACUCUUCUACCUUUGUUUUUCGGAGCAGCACCGGACUUAGAAGACGCCUUGAGCGACGACGGUGGCCACUGGCCGCAGCUCACAGCCAUGUCACUAUUAU